This 18-nucleotide unclassified non-coding RNA is filed under the name Mus musculus (house mouse). RNAcentral describes it as "oocyte_clustered_small_RNA9742". Lineage: Eukaryota; Metazoa; Chordata; Mammalia; Rodentia; Muridae. The record is from RNAcentral.
CUGUUGCCUUCGCAGAUG